GACGAACGCUGGCGGCGUGCUUAACACAUGCAAGUCGAACGAAGAGCGAUGGAAGCUUGCUUCUAUCAAUCUUAGUGGCGAACGGGUGAGUAACGCGUAAUCAACCUGCCCUUCAGAGGGGGACAACAGUUGGAAACGACUGCUAAUACCGCAUACGAUCUAAACUCGGCAUCGAGGAUAGAUGAAAGGUGGCCUCUACAUGUAAGCUAUCACUGAAGGAGGGGAUUGCGUCUGAUUAGCUAGUUGGAGGGGUAACGGCCCACCAAGGCGAUGAUCAGUAGCCGGUCUGAGAGGAUGAACGGCCACAUUGGGACUGAGACACGGCCCAGACUCCUACGGGAGGCAGCAGUGGGGAAUCUUCCGCAAUGGACGAAAGUCUGACGGAGCAACGCCGCGUGAGUGAUGACGGCCUUCGGGUUGGAAAGCUCUGUUAAUCGGGACGAAAGGCCUUCUUGCGAAUAGUGAGAAGGAUUGACGGUACCGGAAUAGAAAGCCACGGCUAACUACGUG
This 510-nucleotide ribosomal RNA is filed under the name uncultured bacterium. RNAcentral describes it as "partial 16S ribosomal RNA". It matches the Rfam family "Bacterial small subunit ribosomal RNA", at positions 28 to 507 of the family's 1533-position model. The record is from RNAcentral.